Molecule: ribosomal RNA, 252 nt
Filed under: uncultured bacterium
Lineage: Bacteria
Description: partial 16S ribosomal RNA
Rfam family: Bacterial small subunit ribosomal RNA
Source: RNAcentral
CGUAGGGGGCGAGCGUUACCCGGAUUUACUGGGCGUAAAGCGCGUGUAGGCGGCUGGCCAAGCGUGGUGUGAAAUCUUCGGGCUUAACCCGAAAACUGCAUUGCGAACUGGUCUGGCUAGAGUGUGUGAGAGGGUAGUGGAAUUCCCGGUGUAGCGGUGAAAUGCGUAGAUAUCAAGCGGAACACCGGUGGCGAAGGCGGCCUUCUGGACAGUGACUGACGCUGAGACGCGAAAGCGUGGGGAGCAAACAGG